AGCAGAAAUGAUUGAAUGAAAAAAAAGGNGAACACCCCCCUUUGGAACCCCCUUUUUUUGCUGUAACUACUUGAGCCGGAUGAGAGGAAACCUUCACGUCGGCCUCCGUUUUGUUUUCAUUGACUUGUGACUCUUGGGCCUCUCCAGACGGCCUUCGAAGCUUCCAAGGUUGAGAAGGAGCUGUUCUCAGGACAAAUGCCAGAUGCCCAGAAUCCACUCUUAUUGAAUCCCCUGCUUGAGAAGAAGCUGUUCGCAUUGCUCUAGCGCAAGAGCAUGGUAGCCAAGACAGAAGGGAGAGGCAUCAUUUUUCGGCUUAUUCCACUUGCUAUCUUGAAGGGCAGUAGCAUAUGAUUUGCUGUAGUAGGUACCCAUGGUGCAAAAGAAUACGCAGCUGACCAGAGUCGGGUUUCCCGUUUACCCACAACGGAGGAGCCGCCCCCACCAACCAAAGCAGGCAGGCGGCCAGCGUCAGCGUAGCGAUCCCCAAUUUCAUCAGCUGACAUUGGGCCUUUGUUGCUUUCGGACCGACUUUCAUUGAUGGCAGAUGUUGUAUCAGCUCGGCUUGGAGCUCUUUCUUUUUUACUUU
Molecule: long non-coding RNA, 586 nt
Filed under: Phoenix dactylifera (date palm)
Lineage: Eukaryota; Viridiplantae; Streptophyta; Magnoliopsida; Arecales; Arecaceae
Description: long non-coding RNA (PDAC_LNC020320)
Source: RNAcentral